CGUGAGGAACCUGCCUCGGAGUGGGGAAUAACAACAACGAAAGCUGUGCUAAUACCGCAUGAUACAGUUGGGUCGCAUGACUCUGACUGUCAAAGAUUUAUCGCUCUGAGAUGGCCUCGCGUCUGAUUAGCUAGUUGGUGGGGUAACGGCCCACCAAGGCGACGAUCAGUAGCCGGACUGAGAGGUUGACCGGCCACAUUGGGACUGAGACACGGCCCAG
Molecule: ribosomal RNA, 220 nt
Filed under: uncultured bacterium
Lineage: Bacteria
Description: partial 16S ribosomal RNA
Rfam family: Bacterial small subunit ribosomal RNA
Source: RNAcentral